UGGGCUCAGUUAAGGGAAGUUCCUAUGCUUCUUCUCUCUUGGGAAUAUGCCAAACAGAGUUUCACAUAAUUGGUUGUGUCUCUUUCCUCAUCAGGGAAAGCUUGUCAUUCAGGGACACUCACUAUAGUCCUUUCUUGUCUCUCCAGGAUUGGUCCAGCUGGUUGGAGGAGAUGGGCCCUGUAUUGGGAGGGUAGAAGUCAAUUCUGGAAGAAAACGGAGCACAGUCUGUGAUUGGAAUUUUAGUCUUUCUACUGCCAAAGUCAUCUGUGCUGAAUUAGAAUUUGGGACUGUAGUCUCUAUCAUGAAAAAAGCCCACUUUGGAAGAGGAAAUGGAUACAUCUGGGAUAAAGAAUUCCAAUGUAAUGGAAGUGAACCGCUUCUGUCAUUAUGCCCCACAGUACCACUUCCACAGGGAAAAUGCAGUCACAGCAUGGAUGUUGGAGUCAUUUGUUCAAGUAAAACUUUCACAAUGCUUUUAUGCUACUCCCACAUUGCACUUGAUACUGAAAUUAGAAAAUCACAAUCACUUUUCUAAAGCCCUGUCUGUUUCUCCCCAGGGUACACAGAUUUUCGUCUGAUGAAUGGAAGCUCCCAAUGUGAAGGAAGAGUAGAGAUCCAAGUUUUUGGGACCUGGAGAACUCUGUGACUCCCACUGGGACCUGGGAGAAGCCAAUGUUCUCUGCCAUCAGCUCAACUGUGGUGUUGCCAUGAAGCCUCCAGAAGAUGUAUAUUUUGGCAAAGGAAGUGUCCCGACCAUAAGGGAUACAUUUUACUGCACAGGAACCGAGUCUCAUUUAUGGAAUUGUUCAGUGACUAUCCUGGGGACUUCUCCAUGUUCCAAAGGAAAAGUUGCUUCUGUGGUCUGCUCAGGAAACCAGACACAGUCCCUCAUGUUCAAUAAUUCACAGUCUGACCAGGAAAAGGUACCUGUCUUAUUUUCAGGUAAGAAAGAAAGUCGGACAAAAUGAGGAAACCCUUCUCAUUCCUGGGGAAAAUGGGCAAUUAAUCUGCAUUUCUUCUUGUAGAAAUUGGACAGCUUCGUCUGUUGAAUGGAAGAGGUCCCUGCUCUGGAAGAGUUGAAGUCUAUUACAAUGGUACCUGGGGGACUGUCUGUGAUGAUUCUUGGGACUUGAGCGAUGCCCAUGUGGUGUGCAGGCAACUGGGCUGUGGAGUGGCCCUCAAAGCCAUGGUCUCUGCUCACUUUGGACAAGGAUCAGGGCCCAUCUGGCUAGAUGAGCUUAGCUGCUCUGGAAAUGAAUCCCACCUAGGAGAGUGCCCUUCCCUCCAUUGGGGGUCGGCAUGACUGCAGGCACAAAGAGGAUGCAGGAGUCCUCUGCUCAGGUCCGGGCCAUACACAUCCUACUAACAGUGAGGGACUUAUGUGAGCACUUAGGAGGUGGGGCUUAGAGACGUGAGGGAGGAGGAGCUGAUUCAGACAGGGAGGAGGACUUCCUGCCCCAACCACAGCCCUUCCUAGAGUGCAGUUUUAAGGCAAGACCUCUUAUCUGAAGGAUGAUUUUAUUUAUCUCCUACAUUUGUAUAGAUGGGUCUCUGCCCUUAUGAAGGGGUGUAUGUGGGUGUGUGUGUGUGUGUGUGUGUGUGUGUGCGUGUAUAUUUUCUUAUACUUCAUUUCCUAAUAGAGUGCUAUUCUCAGAAUAGGUAUACAUGUCUGCUGAUUUACUUUUCUAUUGGUGGUUCACAGAUACACACUAAUUUUGAAACUGUGAAACUGAGUAGUGAAAUCACAGUAAAGGCAUUCCUGUCUUUUUAAUGGGGGACACAAGAUAGAGAGAAUUGUACAGAAAUAUAGAGGAAGGAAUUCUG
This 1824-nucleotide long non-coding RNA is filed under the name Phascolarctos cinereus (koala). RNAcentral's name for it is "lncRNA (ENSPCIG00000034036.1)". The record is from RNAcentral. Lineage: Eukaryota; Metazoa; Chordata; Mammalia; Diprotodontia; Phascolarctidae.